GUCUGUAGCCAAGUGGUAAGGCAUGGGUCUGCAAAACCUUGAUUCGCCGGUUCAAAUCCGGCCAGGC
RNAcentral lists this transfer RNA (67 nucleotides) under human gut metagenome. It matches the Rfam family "tRNA". From Rfam's summary of the family: Transfer RNA (tRNA) molecules are approximately 80 nucleotides in length. Their secondary structure includes four short double-helical elements and three loops (D, anti-codon, and T loops). The record is from RNAcentral.